Molecule: long non-coding RNA, 656 nt
Filed under: Homo sapiens (human)
Lineage: Eukaryota; Metazoa; Chordata; Mammalia; Primates; Hominidae
Description: novel transcript
Source: RNAcentral
UUUUGUCUGGCAGAAUACAAAAAGGUGUCACAGAGUUGGCAUUUGAAUUGGAUUUUGGAAGAUGAAUGGAAAUGCACUAGCUGGAGAUGAAAAGAACAUAAUGGACUGAGGAAAGUUCCUUUCCAAAAAUCAAGAAAGCUGUAAAAGGCACGGGGAUUUUAAUAAUUAUCUUCAGUUGGAAUUACAUCAUUCAUCAACAACUUUUGAAACAUAUACGAAAAUUAUCUAAAAAUCCUCAAAAUACCAAUUCAGAAGGAACAUCUACAGGAACACCUGACGAGGCUGCACCCUUGGCAGGAAGAACACCUGACACGGCUGAAAGCUUGGUGGAAAAAACACCUGAUGAGGCUGCACCCUUAGUGGAGGGAACAUCUGACAAAAUUCAAUGUCUGGGGAAAGCAACAUCUGGAAAGUUUGAACAGUCAGCAGAAGAAUAUGUUAGGCCAUGUGUCUCUAUAACAGCUAUUGAACUCUGCAUUGUACAGUGAAAGCAGUCAUAGAUAAUGUGUGAGCAAAUAGGCAUGAUUGCACUCCAAUAAAACUUUGUAUAAAAAACCAUUUGGUAAGCUGAAUUUGGCCUGUGAUAUAUAGUUUCCUGGCCCUUCACACAGAAGAUAGAUGGAGUGUAAUUACAUAAAAAGUUUUAAAGACAAAGU